This 253-nucleotide ribosomal RNA is filed under the name uncultured bacterium. Its description in RNAcentral is "partial 16S ribosomal RNA". It matches the Rfam family "Bacterial small subunit ribosomal RNA", at positions 524 to 776 of the family's 1533-position model. The record is from RNAcentral.
UACGGAGGAUGCAAGCGUUAUCCGGAAUGAUUGGGCGUAAAGCGUCCGCAGGUGGCUGUGUAAGUCUGCUGUUAAAUAGUGAGGCUCAACCUCAUAAAGGCAGUGGAAACUACACAGCUAGAGUGCGUUCGGGGCAGAGGGAAUUCCUGGUGUAGCGGUGAAAUGCGUAGAGAUCAGGAAGAACACCGGUGGCGAAGGCGCUCUGCUAGGCCGCAACUGACACUGAGGGACGAAAGCUAGGGGAGCGAAUGGG